Molecule: non-coding RNA, 21 nt
Organism: Caenorhabditis elegans
Lineage: Eukaryota; Metazoa; Nematoda; Chromadorea; Rhabditida; Rhabditidae
Source: Ensembl
AUGUAUAUAGAUCGACUAACA